Aethina tumida (small hive beetle) is the source of this 966-nucleotide long non-coding RNA. RefSeq lists it as uncharacterized. The transcript is spliced from 2 exons. Lineage: Eukaryota; Metazoa; Arthropoda; Insecta; Coleoptera; Nitidulidae. The record is from RefSeq and is a predicted model, not a curated record.
GUAACUGUUAACGCACAUGUGCUCUACUGUUGUUUAAAAUAAUAACCAAGUUUUGUUUAAUUAUCUUUACUUUUAUUAAACUUUUAUAAGUGGACAAGUAUAAAAUCGACUUAAGCUUCCACUAUGUUUCAAUGUGUAGAGCUGUUGGAAGUAUGUAGCCUUCGUUUGGAUGUUUCCACCCAUUUGAUAGGACUCCUUUAGGAUAUCCAAGGCGUCAGCAACGUAGCCUACAUUAGGAACACUGUAGUUGGUAAUUUUGUACUGCAAAUUACCUAAUUAAUAACUUCAAAUUGUACAUUUGUGCUUAACAUACUGUUAAAUCAGCUGGGUUAGCCUCUGUAGUUGAAGCAUUAUCAGCAUUAGAAAAGGCGACGAAAAGUACGCAAAAUACAAAUACAAAUAAAGUUUUUAGAAGCAUUUUUAUGGAAUCUAGAAACAAUAUGUUAUAAUUAAUUUAAAACACCUUUUUUGUAUGAUAAUAGAGAUAAAAAUGCUCCAAAUUUACUUACUCACACUUACUAAGUCACUUAAGAUAUAUGUUUUAGUUUUUUAAUUUUUAUUUUAUAUUUUCCCAAUCUUAUCUCGUGAUUUAAAUAUAAUGGUGGGAUGUGGGUGAUACAAUCAAUCUGUGAUCUAGAUUUUUCUUAUAUAAUCUAAAAUAAAAUCACAUAUUUUAUUUAUUUUUUAAAAUACAGGAGCCUUUCAGUAAUACUUGAAUGCUGAGGGAUGUAAUAUGAGGCUUAAGGCACCCUGAACUGUAAAAACAUCUACAAUUCACCCACAAAAUCUGAGGUGAUUCACAUACAUAUUUAUUUACUAAACCACUUAAAGAUAUGUGUUGUCUUUUAUUAAUUUUUAUUGUAUGUUUUGGCAAUCUUAUCUUGUGAUUUAAAUACUAUAUUAGGACUCAGACUAUUCAAUUUAUAAUCUAUAUUAUCGAAGUGAAAUAAAACCACAUGUUGUUGA